Molecule: long non-coding RNA, 4256 nt
Organism: Gallus gallus (chicken)
Lineage: Eukaryota; Metazoa; Chordata; Aves; Galliformes; Phasianidae
Exons: 2
Source: RefSeq, a predicted model, not a curated record
UUUGUUAUUAACGCAGCCCAUAUUUAGCAAUGUGUCUCCGAAGGAAAAAAGCACAUAGUUUCAUCUGAACAAAGCCCCAUCGCCGUACAGCCAGGUCCCCGGGGACCUCUGGAUCCCAUUUUGCAUGGCCAAAUAAGAUGGAAAUUGCACAGAUGAAAAUGCAUUCCUGGUCCCCAGUCAGUCAAUCUCUGGGAUGCAAGGAGCCACAAUCCCUGCCCACAGGUGAGCCCUGCCAUUAGCCUGCUGCCACGCCCUCCCGUCUGAGAAACAGCUGAGGUAUCGUACUGGGAGAUCAGAGAUGAUCCACUCAGUCUUGCCUUAAUCUCCUAGACCCACAGCAGAGCUCUGGUCUGUAUUCCACAUGCUCAGGCUCACGAACAGUCUACCCUCACAAAACUGGAAAUAGCCCCUGAUGUAGCCUGCUCUGUGAGGGCACUGUGGGCAGCUCUCCCUGCAUCUCCUCACAAGGCCCUGGGCCUACGACGGGCGGUCCUCAUCCUCCUCACAGCUGCUGCCUCCCACAUGGCUGCUGCACCCUUCCCCUCACACUGCCAGCCAAUCUGCCUCUCCUGCAACACUUUUUAUUUCUAUUUUUUCUCAUUUCUUCCCAUUUUCUCCUGCUAUGAAGGGACCCGAUCUAGACAAGAAAGCUUGGAGGCUGCAGAAGGGAUCUUCCCUGCAUGAUGUUUUUAAUCCUUGGCCCCCUCUGCUUCAGUCAACACCACAAGUGCCUUCCACUACAACAGUCCAUUUGUUGCUUAGGAAUUAAACAUUGACUAAACACAUCAUUCUGCAUAGGCCAUUGAACUGGAAGAAUGUUUGGUGAGCUCAGCAGCUAGAGCUUUAUUAACCAUCUCUAGUGACCUUCUCCUUCAGCGAGGCAAAUGCAACGCAGUGGUUUGGUUUCAGACCCUUUCCACGUUCUCCCUCUGUAACCCACAACACUCCUAAAGCUCUAACGCCCACAUUAAAAAGCUCUGCCCACAGGUAGUCCCUUACUCACCUAUCCCACCAGAGUAUAAAGCUUACAUGGUUCCAUGCUUCACCAUUCCCUGCUCUCUCCAGACUGGUUUAGACCUUCUCAAGAGCACCGCCAUCACAUGCAUCUGCUGAUCUUGUUGCCAGACUGGUAAGUGGAAGUGCUGCAAUCCCAUUCCAAGGGGAGAUGGUUUCGUUUAGUAUGCCUGCAAUGUUUAACAACGCACUAGAGAGCAGGUCAGCUGAAGGUGUGUUGACACAAAACAGCCAAGAGAUAAGACAACAAAUGGAGCUUUACAAACAUCAGCAAGUCCAUCAUGCAACAGGAUGAUAACAGAAGUCCAGAAAUCCCCCCUAGGGGUGGAGACUCCCUCCGCAAAUAGCAAAAUAACCAUGAAAUGCAUUCUGGAGUAAUUACAUUCUGAAUACAGGUCUGGAAAAGCUGCUUUGGGCUUCUCACUCUUAGGCACUUAGCAACAGGAAGAAAAGAUAUGUGAGAAUUCUUUGCAUUUUCUGAAUUUUCCUUUAGUUCACAACCACCCUUCUAUGCUGAAUUUAGUGCUAUCAAAAGAGAAGAACACAGGAAAGCUCACAUUUCCCUCAAAUGCAGUGCCAGUAUUUCCUGCUGCCAGAUGAUCAGGAGGGAAAAGCUUUGAAUUUUAGGUGACCACCUGUGGUUGCCAGUCAAGACAACAAAAAACCCCAACAAACUAAGAACGCCUCUAUCACCUCACUGGACCUAGACUGCAUUCCAUUUGGUGGCGCUUUGCCAGUGCUAAUAAUUGAGGAUAAUGGUUAAGUGCUUUUGAGUUUCAAAGGCAGCUUUCAACACUUGUCCUAGACUAAUCAGCUGUAGGAAAAAAAAAAAAUAAUAAAAAAGUCAGUCUGAACACUGUCUCAACCUGGAGCCAGAAAGCCAUACCUAAUCUAAUUAAAUUCUCUUACAGAAUACAGCUAUAUGCACCAGCUAUCUCUGAGCUAGGAAAACAACAGCACCAGCAUUAGUAACAAGACUCACUGGGCAGGGUAGGCAUGUCCCGACCAACAGGAAUCCAGCAAGACAGGAACAAAAAGGAAAUGUGAUAACAGAUUUGAGGUACCUAACAUGAGACGAUAUCUAUUUGUUCCCUCUCCUGCCCUAUCACACAUAGGAUUCUUUAAGAGGAGGAGGACAACGUGUGGUGCACUGAAAUGUUAGAGAUGGUAUCUUGGCAUAUAUGCUGGAGCCUAACUGUGACCUGGGGGUCAGCAUUCCCCAGGCAGGUGUGUCUCACAUCUUCAGGAGGAGCAAGGUAGCACAUAUAUACCCACUGCACUUUGCAGAAGUCACUUUUGUGUUUGUAUGAGGGAGUUUGGUUUCAGUCUGCUCAACACAGAGUGUAUGCAGAUCUAUACAUUUGCAGCCCUUGGUACCACAGUAGGAGCAUUCUCAAGCUUCAAUGAAUGUGGCGCAACACCACUGUGAUCUGGGCAGGUAUUAAGAUCACCACUGUAAUUUUCAGCAUAUUAGAAGGUACAUUUUUUUCCCCUAAGGAUGAGAAUGCAAUUUAUUUGUUUACCACUAUCAGUUUUUUUUCCAUGACUUUUGCAAGGCUUGAAGACAUCCAUGAAAUAAGUCCCCACCUGUUGGUUCCACAGGCAUCUUAGGUCUACAGAUACCACUAGAAUGAUAUGGACCCAAGGAAAGCAAGAACCUGGAAAUAGGGCAGGGCAACUGACCCUCUAACAACAAGAGGGCAGGUGGUAGAGGCCUGGCGUACCUCCGCACCUCCUGGCUGGCACUCCUUGUGAACUGAGGAACAGAAGUAUACACACGUACCCAGCAUUACAUUUCUGCGAGCAUGACAGUGGUAAAAAGCACUUUCAAUCUCAGCUUUUCCAAAGUGCCCCAACCAAGCGCUCACAUGCAGCAUGGCAGGAUAAUGAGAAUUUCAAGUUGACUGCUUGCUUGCCAUCUACAAAGCAUACAUCUUUAGUGAAAGCUCUGGUGUCCUCUGGAGGCUGGAUUUCCAGCUUGUUUCUCACUCUGCUAAAGCCAUUGCUGCAACAGUUUCUAUAGCCUUUUCUGCUCCGAAAUCUGCAGUAUAGUGAUAUAGCAGAGAACAAAUUCACUGUUCAAUCUCAUUUCACUCCUGGGUAAGCAGAAUUUCACUACAGUCAUAAUCUUGAGGUCCCUGGUGCUUAUUGUUAACACUGCCUGCAACCUUCGUCAGCCCUGGAAAGGGAACAACCUAGCCCCAAGACAGGAGGAAGGAACUAAAUGCAGAAAGGAAAUUAAACUACUCAGAAGCCCUUGUUCUUCGCAUUAAAGGCAAAAAGGAAAGACUAAUUGUCUAGCUUAUUGCCACAAAUAAGCACAUUUUUAGUGGUCUAACUUUCAGCAAUUUUUUCCAAGAGAUAGCAGUCGAACAAACAAGUCUGAGAACACAAUCCUCCUUGUGCACAAAAUCCAGAUGGCAUCACCAAAUCCCUUUCCAGAUAUAGCACUAUGAAAACAAAUGAUUAACUGUUAGGAGACACCAAGGUCCUCAAAGUUACGUAACCAUUUGCACAUGUAAACUACUGUCGCGGCAGCCUUGUUCUCCUUUUGUGAAGUUCUCAAUUCAACAACCCUACCCUGAGUUUUGGAUUUGCCUUGAAACUUUCAGCCUGGAAAGGUUUGCCUGGUUUCGGGCAUGAUUGUCAACACCAUGCAUGGCUACACACUGGACAUAUCCAGCAUGCAGGGGAAAAACAGUCUUGAGAAACACCAGCUCAUCAUUCUAUAAACACAUCCGUGGUGUGCAACAAAAGCGGCAACAUGGUGAGACAGCUUGCAUCAUUUAUCUUCAGACAACCCCAUUACCAAGGGGUACGUUUCAAGACAGAUUUAUGGAGGGCCAGAAGAGGAUUAUCUUUGUGAUGCACACGUUUUUUUGGUUUCACAUUUGGCAAUGAGCAAAGUGCAUUUUUCGAGCAAUAACCGCUAUCUCACGGGAUGAGACGGCUGUUUCUAAUGCUGUGAAGUUCAAAUCACCACUCCUCUACAGAAUGCAAAGUUAUAGGAAGAGCUCUGCCAUGAGAUAUGUAGGCUGAAAUACUAGCAGUUGUUAUUUCCCUCUGAAGAAAAGCCUGGCUUGUUCCAUUUUAUUUGCUGCCAGCGUAGUCAAGUUCAGCACUUUUGUAAUCAUGACACUUUAUUUAACUUAUCAGAUGAACUUUGCGCUGGAUGUGAUUCAAAGGAUGAACUUCAUGUAAUAAUUUCUUCUGAAGAAAUCCCCCAACCCCCCCCCCCCCCC